UCGGAUUGAUACUAAGCUAUGCGAGUCAUUGUAGCAAUACAAGGCAGACGGCUCAGUAACGCGUAGUCAAUCUACCCUAUGGACGGGAAUAACCUCGGGAAACUGAGAAUAAUGCCCGAUAGAACAUUAUGCCUGGAAUGGUCUAUGUUUCAAAUGAUUUAUCGCCAUAGGAUGGGACUGCGGCCUAUCAGUUUGUUGGUGAGGUAAUGGCCCACCAAGACUAUUACAGGUACGGGCUCUGAGAGGAGUGGCCCGGAGAUGGGUACUGAGACACGGACCCAGGCCCUAUGGGGUGCAGCAGGCGAGAAAACUUUGCAAUGUGCGAAAGCACGACAAGGUUAAUCCGAGUGGUUUCUGCUAAAGAAACCUUUUGUCAGUCCUAGAAACACUAACGAAUAAGGGGUGGGCAAGUUCUGGUGUCAGCCGCCGCGGUAAAACCAGCACCUCAAGUGGUCAGGAUGAUUAUUGGGCCUAAAGCAUCCGUAGCUCGUUUUGUAAGUUUUCGGUUAAAUCCAUACGCUUAACGUAUGGGCUGCCGGGAAUACCGCAUAACUAGGAAGUGGGAGAGGUAGACGGUACUCGGUGGGAAGGGGUAAAAUCCUUUGAUCUAUUGAUGACCACCUGUGGCGAAGGCGGUCUACCAGAACACGUUCGACGGUGAGGGAUGAAAGCUGGGGGAGCAAACCGGAUUAGAUACCCGGGUAGUCCAGCUGUAACUAUGCAAACUCAGUGAUGCAUUGGCUUGUGGCCAUGCAGUGCUGCAGGGAACCGUUAGUUUGCCGC
RNAcentral lists this ribosomal RNA (783 nucleotides) under uncultured archaeon. RNAcentral's name for it is "bacterial SSU rRNA". It matches the Rfam family "Archaeal small subunit ribosomal RNA", at positions 33 to 827 of the family's 1478-position model. The record is from RNAcentral.